Molecule: ribosomal RNA, 399 nt
Filed under: Betaproteobacteria bacterium
Lineage: Bacteria; Pseudomonadati; Pseudomonadota; Betaproteobacteria
Description: bacterial SSU rRNA
Rfam family: Bacterial small subunit ribosomal RNA
Source: RNAcentral
GAACUAUAGAGUUUGAUCCUGGCUCAGAUUGAACGCUAGCGGCAUGCUUUACACAUGCAAGUCGAACGGCAGCGCGGGGUAACCUGGCGGCGAGUGGCGAACGGGUGAGUAAUACAUCGGAACGUGCCCUGUGAUGGGGGAUAACUACGCGAAAGCGUAGCUAAUACCGCAUACGACCUACGGGUGAAAGUGGGGGAUCGCAAGACCUCACGUCAUAGGAGCGGCCGAUGGCGGAUUAGCUAGUUGGUGAGGUAAAGGCUUACCAAGGCAACGAUCCGUAGCUGGUCUGAGAGGACGACCAGCCACACUGGGACUGAGACACGGCCCAGACUCCUACGGGAGGCAGCAGUGGGGAAUCUUGGACAAUGGGGGCAACCCUGAUCCAGCAAUGCCGCGUGC